CUCGAACCGGUUAAGAGGAUGCGUCAGUCGCAAGAUGAAGCGUUGAAUUGAAGCCCGAGUAAACGGCGGCCGUAACUAUAACGGUCCUAAGGUAGCGAAAUUCCUUGUCGGUUAAAUACCGACCUGCAUGAAUGGCGUAACGAGAUGGGAGCUGUCUCAACCAGAGAUUCAGUGAAAUUGUAGUGGAGGUGAAAAUUCCUCCUACCCGCGGCAAGACGGAAAGACCCCGUGGACCUUUACUACAACUUAGCACUGCUAAUGGGAAUAUCAUGCGCAGGAUAGGUGGGAGGCUGUUGAAGUAAGGGCUUUGGCUCUUAUGAGCCAUCCUUGUAGAUACCACCCUUGAUGUUUCUGUUAGCU
This 360-nucleotide ribosomal RNA is filed under the name Helicobacter pylori. RNAcentral describes it as "bacterial LSU rRNA". It matches the Rfam family "Bacterial large subunit ribosomal RNA", at positions 1869 to 2223 of the family's 2925-position model. Lineage: Bacteria; Pseudomonadati; Campylobacterota; Epsilonproteobacteria; Campylobacterales; Helicobacteraceae. The record is from RNAcentral.